RNAcentral lists this ribosomal RNA (747 nucleotides) under uncultured Oribacterium sp. RNAcentral's name for it is "bacterial SSU rRNA". It matches the Rfam family "Bacterial small subunit ribosomal RNA", at positions 28 to 776 of the family's 1533-position model. The record is from RNAcentral. Lineage: Bacteria; Bacillati; Bacillota; Clostridia; Lachnospirales; Lachnospiraceae.
GAUGAACGCAGGCGGCGUGCCUAACACAUGCAAGUCGAACCGAGAUGCGUAUCGGAAAGCUUCGGCCGGAAGAUACGUAGUCUAGUGGCGGACGGGUGAGUAACACGUGGGUAACCUGCCUUAUGGAGGGGGAUAACAGAGAGAAAUCACUGCUAAUACCGCAUAAGCACACAGUACCGCAUGGUACAGGGUGAAAAGAUUUAUCGCCAUAAGAUGGACCCGCGUCUGAUUAGCCAGUUGGCAGGGUAAAAGCCUACCAAAGCAACGAUCAGUAGCCGAUCUGAGAGGAUGACCGGCCACAUUGGGACUGAGACACGGCCCAAACUCCUACGGGAGGCAGCAGUGGGGAAUAUUGCACAAUGGGGGGAACCCUGAUGCAGCGACGCCGCGUGAGUGAAGAAGUAUUUCGGUAUGUAAAGCUCUAUCAGCAGGGAAGAUAAUGACAGUACCUGACUAAGAAGCCCCGGCUAACUACGUGCCAGCAGCCGCGGUAAUACGUAGGGGGCAAGCGUUAUCCGGAUUUACUGGGUGUAAAGGGAGCGUAGACGGAAUGGCAAGUCUGAAGUGAAAUACCCGGGCUCAACCUGGGAACUGCUUUGGAAACUGUUGUUCUAGAGUGUUGGAGAGGUAAGUGGAAUUCCUGGUGUAGCGGUGAAAUGCGUAGAUAUCAGGAAGAACACCGGAGGCGAAGGCGGCUUACUGGACAAUAACUGACGUUGAGGCUCGAAAGCGUGGGGAUCAAACAGG